UAGCUCAGUUGAUAGAGCAUUAGCCUUCCAAGCUGAGGGUCGCGGGUUUGAGCCCCGUCUUCCG
This 64-nucleotide transfer RNA is filed under the name Bacteroides sp. Its description in RNAcentral is "tRNA-Gly". It matches the Rfam family "tRNA", at positions 8 to 69 of the family's 71-position model. From Rfam's summary of the family: Transfer RNA (tRNA) molecules are approximately 80 nucleotides in length. Their secondary structure includes four short double-helical elements and three loops (D, anti-codon, and T loops). The record is from RNAcentral. Lineage: Bacteria; Pseudomonadati; Bacteroidota; Bacteroidia; Bacteroidales; Bacteroidaceae.